GACGAACGCUGGCGGCGUGCUUAACACAUGCAAGUCGAACGGAAAGGCCCUGCUUUUGCGGGGUGCUCGAGUGGCGAACGGGUGAGUAACACGUGAGUAACCUGCCCUUGACUUUGGGAUAACUUCAGGAAACUGGGGCUAAUACCGGAUAGGAGCUCCUGCUGCAUGGUGGGGGUUGGAAAGUUUCGGCGGUUGGGGAUGGACUCGCGGCUUAUCAGCUUGUUGGUGGGGUAGUGGCUUACCAAGGCUUUGACGGGUAGCCGGCCUGAGAGGGUGACCGGCCACAUUGGGACUGAGAUACGGCCCAGGCUCCUACGGGAGGCAGCAGUGGGGAAUAUUGCACAAUGGGCGGAAGCCUGAUGCAGCAGCGCCGCGUGCGGGAUGACGGCCUUCGGGUUGGAAACCGCUUUCGCCUGUGACGAAGCGUGAGGGACGGUAAUGGGUAAAGAAGCACCGGCUAACUACGUG
Molecule: ribosomal RNA, 468 nt
Filed under: uncultured bacterium
Lineage: Bacteria
Description: partial 16S ribosomal RNA
Rfam family: Bacterial small subunit ribosomal RNA
Source: RNAcentral